RNAcentral lists this ribosomal RNA (300 nucleotides) under uncultured Desulfovibrio sp. RNAcentral describes it as "partial 16S ribosomal RNA". The stretch from base 62 to 300 matches the Rfam family "Bacterial small subunit ribosomal RNA", at positions 557 to 795 of the family's 1533-position model. Lineage: Bacteria; Pseudomonadati; Thermodesulfobacteriota; Desulfovibrionia; Desulfovibrionales; Desulfovibrionaceae. The record is from RNAcentral.
GGGAAGGGCGUGCGAGCGGCGGGGGUGAGAUGGGGGGGUGGGGUGUUGUCCGUAAGUGUGUGGCGGAAAGGGCUUGUAGGGGGGUUGUCGGGUCGGGGGUGAAAACCAGGUGGUGAACACCUGGCGUGCGUUCGAUACGGGCAGACUGGAGGUAUGCAGGGGAGAACGGAAUUCCUGGUGUAGCGGUGAAAUGCGCAGAUAUCAGGAGGAACACCGGUGGCGAAGGCGGUUCUCUGGGCAUUACCUGACGCUGAGGAGCGAAAGUUUGGGGAGCGAACAGGAUUAGAUACCCCAGUAGUC